RNAcentral lists this ribosomal RNA (460 nucleotides) under uncultured bacterium. Its description in RNAcentral is "partial 16S ribosomal RNA". It matches the Rfam family "Bacterial small subunit ribosomal RNA", at positions 338 to 795 of the family's 1533-position model. The record is from RNAcentral.
CCUACGGGAGGCAGCAGUGAGGAAUAUUGGUCAAUGGACGAGAGUCUGAACCAGCCAAGUAGCGUGAAGGAUGACUGCCCUAUGGGUUGUAAACUUCUUUUAUAUGGGAAUAAAACAGGGUAUGCAUACCCUCUUGUAUGUACCAUAUGAAUAAGGAUCGGCUAACUCCGUGCCAGCAGCCGCGGUAAUACGGAGGAUCCGAGCGUUAUCCGGAUUUAUUGGGUUUAAAGGGAGCGUAGGUGGCUUGUUAAGUCAGUGGUGAAAGUUUGUGGCUCAACCGUAAAAUUGCAGUUGAAACUGGCGGUCUUGAGUACGUUAGAGGUAGGAGGAAUGCGUGGUGUAGCGGUGAAAUGCUUAGAUAUCACGAAGAACUCCGAUUGCGAAGGCAGCUCACUAAGCUGUGACUGACACUGAUGCUCGAAAGUGUGGGUAUCAAACAGGAUUAGAUACCCGUGUAGUC